AGGGUCGUAGGGGACCGCCUGGGGAUCCCCGGACGGCUGCGAGGAAUGAGCGGUUGGCUCGGGCUGGUUUCCUCCCUCCACCGCCUGCUUGUUUCGCCAUGCCCGGGCCGGACGGUGGGGCUGCAGCGGCGAAAGCGACUGAAGUCCGGGAGCAGUCGCAUGAGCUUCCCGGUCACCAGGAGGCCCCGGGAACAGACACCUCACCCUGACAUUGUGGCAGGAACUUCUGGAUUGCUUUCCAAAGUGGCUGCACUGUUUUCUAUCCCCACUGGGCAGGAAAACAUCUAAGAAAGGAGGCUCCCCCCUUCCCUUGCAGGGUUACCAGCAAUUAAAAAGAAGUACUAGAGAGGCAAAUAUCGGCAGUAUACAUCUAAGCGCUGGUCGGAAAAGAAGGAACUCAGCCCAAGAACUUGCCCAAUCUGAUACUGGAGGUGCCACUCAAGAACCACUCCCUCCAAGAUGUUUUCCUGGAUUUCCUCAGCCUAAAGUAAUCCCUCUUUUUCCUGGCUAUACCAUCUGGAACAGAUGACUUCCAAGGACACCGUAGCAAAGAAAAAGAGAACUGGAAGCCCAUGUGCCUUAAUCGCUUCAUCCUAGAGGGCGCAGCAGUCUGGAAAUAGAAACAAUGGUGGUGGAUCAAUUCAAUUGAUCCAGAUUUGGAAGUUGCGUGGCAAGUGAGAAGGAUUUGGAUGGUAAUGGUGAGAAAGGAUUUGAAAUAAUUUAUCAAACCUGGUUCAGAUCAAUCCUGGUGCAUAAGUGACUAACAAGGAGCUGGAGUGGAUGGCAUAGCAUAGUGGCUAGAACCCUAAAACAAGGGAUUUUACAUGAAAGUGGAAA
This 837-nucleotide long non-coding RNA is filed under the name Homo sapiens (human). RNAcentral describes it as "long independently transcribed non-coding RNA 1285 (LINC01285)". The record is from RNAcentral. Lineage: Eukaryota; Metazoa; Chordata; Mammalia; Primates; Hominidae.